GAUGAAGAACGCAGCGAAAUGCGAUAAGUAAUGUGAAUUGCAGAAUUCAGUGAAUCAUCGAAUCUUUGAACGCACCUUGCGCCCUUUGGCCAUUCCGAAGGGCAUGCCUGUUUGAGUAUCAUGAACACCUCAACUCUCAUGGCUCGCCAUUAUGAGCUUGGAUUUGGGGGUCUUGCUGGCCUGUGGUCGGCUCCUCUCAAAUGGAUCAGCUUGCCAGUGUUUGGUGGCAUCACAGGUGUGAUAACUAUCUGCGCUUGUGGUUUUCCAUCAGAUAACCUUCAGUGAUGGAGGUUCGCUGGAGCUCAUAAACGUCUCCCCUAAGCGGGGACAGCCCUUUGAAUGUUUGAUCUCAAAUCAGGUAGGACUACCCGCUGAACUUAAGCAUAUCAAUAAGCGGAGGA
This 401-nucleotide unclassified non-coding RNA is filed under the name soil metagenome. RNAcentral describes it as "partial contains 5.8S ribosomal RNA, internal transcribed spacer 2, and large subunit ribosomal RNA". The stretch from base 1 to 121 matches the Rfam family "5.8S ribosomal RNA", at positions 35 to 154 of the family's 154-position model. The record is from RNAcentral.